Molecule: ribosomal RNA, 368 nt
Filed under: uncultured organism
Description: bacterial SSU rRNA
Rfam family: Bacterial small subunit ribosomal RNA
Source: RNAcentral
CGAACCGUGCGAACGUUGUUCGGAAUCACUGGGCUUAAAGGGCGCGUAGGUGGUUUGCCAAGUCGGGGUUGAAAUCUUUCGGCUUAACCGGAAAAGUGGCUUCGAUACUGGCAAGCUGGAGGGAGUAGGGCGGAUGGAACUUCCGGUGGAGCGGUGAAAUGUGUUGAUAUCGGAAGGAACGCCGGUGGCGAAAGCGAUCCGCUGGACCUCUUCUGACACUGAGGCGCGAAAGCCAGGGGAGCAAACGGGAUUAGAUACCCCGGUAGUCCUGGCCCUAAACGAUGGGUACUGAGUAGUGGACUUGCAUGGGUUUACUGCUGAAGCAAAAGUGGUAAGUACCCCGCCUGGGGAGUAUGGUCGCAAGGCUG